RNAcentral lists this RNase P RNA (394 nucleotides) under Abiotrophia defectiva. RNAcentral's name for it is "RNase P RNA component class B". It matches the Rfam family "Bacterial RNase P class B". From Rfam's summary of the family: Ribonuclease P (RNase P) is a ubiquitous endoribonuclease, found in archaea, bacteria and eukarya as well as chloroplasts and mitochondria. RNAcentral also lists the same sequence under 1 other name. The record is from RNAcentral. Lineage: Bacteria; Bacillati; Bacillota; Bacilli; Lactobacillales; Aerococcaceae.
GAUUUUAGGUAAUCGCGGCUAGCGAUAGUUGAGGAAAGUCCAUGCUCGCACAGGCUGAGAUGCCUGUAGUGUUCGUGCUUAGCGAAACCAUAAGCUAAGGUAGUGCCUAGCGCUAACGGCAGGCAAAAGGUCUAAGGCUUCGGCUAUGACUGAGUAACCUCUAAGGUGCCACAGAGACGAGGCUGGUUGGAAACAACUAGCGUGGAACGCGGUAAACCCCUCGAGCGAGCAACCCAAAUAGUGACCUAGUUUCUAGGUAUACUGGUCGGGGCACUUUUCCUAGGGAAAUGAACCGAUGGAAGAGGCGGGUCACCUAGUGGCCGGCAGACAGAUGAUUACCCCACUUAAGGUGUAUCGCCUAUUUCCCUUAAGUGACAGAACAUGGCUUAUCGAA